CAUGAGUAGCUCAUCUGGUAGAGCGAUAGACUUUAAUCUAUUUGUAGCCGGUUCGAGUCCGGCCUCAAA
RNAcentral lists this transfer RNA (69 nucleotides) under Paracoccaceae bacterium. Its description in RNAcentral is "Rhodobacteraceae bacterium (hydrothermal vent metagenome) tRNA-OTHER". It matches the Rfam family "tRNA". From Rfam's summary of the family: Transfer RNA (tRNA) molecules are approximately 80 nucleotides in length. Their secondary structure includes four short double-helical elements and three loops (D, anti-codon, and T loops). Lineage: Bacteria; Pseudomonadati; Pseudomonadota; Alphaproteobacteria; Rhodobacterales; Paracoccaceae. The record is from RNAcentral.